RNAcentral lists this ribosomal RNA (301 nucleotides) under uncultured bacterium. RNAcentral's name for it is "partial 16S ribosomal RNA". It matches the Rfam family "Bacterial small subunit ribosomal RNA", at positions 509 to 809 of the family's 1533-position model. The record is from RNAcentral.
CAGCAGCCGCGGUAAUACGUAGGGUGCGAGCGUUAAUCGGAAUUACUGGGCGUAAAGCGUGCGCAGGCGGUUCGUUAAGACAGAUGUGAAAUCCCCGGGCUUAACCUGGGAACUGCAUUUGUGACUGGCGAGCUAGAGUAUGGCAGAGGGGGGUAGAAUUCCACGUGUAGCAGUGAAAUGCGUAGAGAUGUGGAGGAACACCGAUGGCGAAGGCAGCCCCCUGGGCCAAUACUGACGCUCAUGCACGAAAGCGUGGGGAGCAAACAGGAUUAGAUACCCCAGUAGUCCCUGUCUCUUAUAA